Molecule: long non-coding RNA, 218 nt
Organism: Bufo bufo (common toad)
Lineage: Eukaryota; Metazoa; Chordata; Amphibia; Anura; Bufonidae
Exons: 3
Source: RefSeq, a predicted model, not a curated record
ACUGGAAAAACCCACCCAGAAGGCGCCGGUGUAUUGAGUGGCCGAUUUCUUCAUCAUCAUCAGCGGAGGGCUCUCCCGAUGUGGGCGGCUCAUCUGCCGGGGCCGGCUCACCUGCCGCAUCACCAGCGUCCAGGGGACGUGGACCAAGCCCGGACCGGGGCUGUCAAGAACAAUCUGCACCUAGAGCCGCCAGCGAGGAUCCCCCAGUCGCCUCCAGA